UUUGCUUGUUCUGUGGGUGCACAGGAGUUGUGAAACAGAGAGCAGGGGGAGUGAGGCAUAGAAGGGGGAGAAGAACGAUGCUGGGUGGAAUUCUAGGUGGGAAAUUCUUCAACAAAUGCAAGCACUCGGCGAAGAACAUAAGGGCGAGGAUCGGGCCGAUACGAAGUAAGAAACAGGCCACGGUGCAGUGGCUCAAAAAGGACGUCGCCGACCUCAUCGCUGCCGGCCACGAAGCGAACGCGUACGGAAGGGUAAGAGUUUGUUUUCGCUUUCAAGAAAUUGCUAAUAAUGAAGUUUUUUGUUUUUGAAAUUAAAAAAAAAAAGAAGAAGAAAAGAAUAGGAAAUUGGAUGAAUGCUAAGGUUCCCCCUUUCCUCGAGCUCAUU
Long non-coding RNA from Zingiber officinale, 384 nucleotides. RefSeq lists it as uncharacterized. The transcript is spliced from 3 exons. Lineage: Eukaryota; Viridiplantae; Streptophyta; Magnoliopsida; Zingiberales; Zingiberaceae. The record is from RefSeq and is a predicted model, not a curated record.